This 16501-nucleotide long non-coding RNA is filed under the name Fragaria vesca (wild strawberry). RNAcentral describes it as "long non-coding RNA (FVES_LNC000219)". The record is from RNAcentral. Lineage: Eukaryota; Viridiplantae; Streptophyta; Magnoliopsida; Rosales; Rosaceae.
AUGAUGUAGAGUUUUAAAAUGACAAGAAUUUGUAUUCAGAUUAACCUUAGUUAAUGGAAUUGACAAAUGACGCUUAUUUUGUGAGGAAUUCAAGUCGGGAAUUUAAGCUCCUAAAUUUCACGAUUAUUUUCCCGUGAAAAUUGCUAAUUCCACGGGAUAAGUAUCCAAACGAGAGAAACCGUUCUAAGAAAUUGAGAAUUCAUUAUGUUUGAUUAAAUUCUUAGGAAUUCACCCACAUCCAAACACACCGUAAAUGUAUACACCGCGCCAAGGCUCGGGUAUAAUUCUAGUUACUUUACUAUAUAUCUAUUUUUCGUCGAGUCGGUUACUGUUUACUUUUUACAGUAUUUUACUGUUCACAUUCUACAGUGUUGGGUUUGGGCCUCAGGGUUUUGGGCAUGGCUAUAAAAGGCUUUCUUUUUUUGUGCCGCAUCAUUCUUCUCGAUCUUUCAUGUUCUGUCUCACUCUGUCCGAUACAAACUCAGAAAAAGGUCUCCCUUCUUGCCAGCUGCUCUCUUUCUCUCUCUCUUCUUCAUCGCCCAAUCUCUGCAAUUGUCAGCAAAAUCCGAUCCAAUUCAUAUCGAUUGGUUGAAAGGUAUGGAAGGAAACUGCUACUAAAACUCGAAGCUUCCUCCGCAGAUCGGAAAUAGCAUUAGCUCGGUGAGAUUUUGUGGCAACUUUCAUGCAUGAAUCUGUAUAUUCGUAUUGAUAUUUCAUAAUGAUUACGUUCUUAUAGAAACAGUACAGAAAUAUGUUUGUAUUCUCAUGUAUCCCAAAUUGAGUCUAUUCUAUCUAUUUAUGGAGUCCACCACCUCCAUUACCUCCAGUCAGGUAUGGCGACCCUUCUCCUCUAUGCGCAAGGGCGAGCUCAGCUUCUCUUAUAAGUUCGGGGACCGGUAAAGUCCUAUUCAGUUUACCCAGUUCAGGCGGUGUAGUGAAAAGGGGAAAAGAAGAAGUCUGGCAGUCGGUGUUGUUUUUGAUCCGGGAAUGGAAGGAUAGAAUGGAUUUUUAUUUAUUUUUAAUUAUUAAAUAGAAUGGAUUUUGUUGGUUUUGUGUAGAUGAACUUGACCAACUGUUCAGGUCUCAAAUUAGGGGUGAGUUGCUGGCUGUGCGGAUCAUGUUAUUGGUAAUGCAUGUAUAUAGGAACUUGAUGUGUAUCAAAUUAGGGUCACGCCAAUUGAGUUUUUCCUCCUGCAACUGAAGUUCUGAACAGUCCAAAUCGUUGAUUAGGAAGUAAAAUUCCUUCAUUGACUUACAAGGGAAUCAUAGUNNNNNNNNNNNNNNNNNNNNCCGAGCCCAACCCAUUCUUCUUCUUUCUUUUUCUCUCUCCCUCCCGAUUCUCUCUCUCUUCUCACCCGGUUUUCCCCUCUCUACACCCAGAAAAGUUUCCGGCCGCCGUCCAGCCUCCGUUCGCCGCCGGACCGGUCCCGUUCGGUCGGUCUCCCUCCCAGCAACAUUUCUAGACCGGUGGAAGCCUCCCUAGCGCCGUCGUGAGGGAGAAACGCCGCCCGAAAGCUCCGACUGCCGAAUCGGUUUUCUCGCCGGAACUUCCUCCUCCGGCCACCAAUCCGGGCAAGCUUGGUACGGUUUUGUAGCCCUCCUCCCGUGCAACAACCCCUCCAAGCAGCUCUCUCCCUCUUGAGCUAGGUAAGGAGAAAUGUGGAGUUGAAAUUUCUAGGCUUUUAAGUUAUUUUCGUUCGAUUAGCCUAGUUAGGCUUGGAAUUGGGUGAUGUGUUGGUCAUGAAAGUUGUAGAGCAUGUUGAGGAGAUUAUUCUGUCAAAAUUUCAUAGGUUUUAGAGAUCGCCGGAAAACGGCUGCCGGCGGCGCCGCCGCCGGUUAGGAGAUUUUUAGGGUUUUAAAUGUGGAAUAUUAAGAGGAGUAUAUUGGUGUGAUUUAUGGAAUUUUUGGAUGAGAUUUGGAUAGGUUUGUGAAUUUCCGAAGUUAGGUAUUUUUGGCGGUUAAUUAAUGUAGAAUCCGGCCGUAGGAUUUAAGUCGUAUUUUAGAGAGGUUGUAUUUACGGCUGUUGAGUAUGAUAUUUAAGUUCGGAUCGUUCCGAUUUAAGAAUAUCGAAGUUAGGCAAUGAUGAGCGUAUUUAUGGCUCUCGGGUAAUUUUGCCUAUUUUGAUUAAAUAUGGGAUUAUUGGUUGGGAAAUUAAUAUUUUAUUUGGAACAGGACGUGAGGAGACUCGAGCAGACGAGACCCCAGAUCGACAGCAGGCUUAGGCCUAAUUUGUGAGUGGACGUUUAUUUUAAAUAAAUGCAUGCUAAAGUUCACGAUUGAAUAAUUAAUGUCGUGGAGUAUUUUGACGUCAUUUUAAUUUUUUGACGAUUUUUAUUUCUCGUGGAGAGAUACCGAAAAUGGGAUUUUCGGUGGAUAUAAAUAUGUAUUUAUGAGAGAGUAUGUAUAUAAAAUGCUAGCUAGCCAUAUGUGUCUGUCCACCUUAAUGGCGUAGCAUAUAACCGCAUUAUGGUGUGACGUGAGCGUUGGACGUAAGCGUAGUAGCCCUAUUUGAGUGUUUAAUUCAUAUAGGGGGUAUGGACACAUAUUUAUACACCNNNNNNNNNNNNNNNNNNNNNNNNNNNNNNNNNNNNNNNNNNNNNNNNNNNNNNNNNNNNNNNNNNNNNNNNNNNNNNNNNNNNNNNNNNNNNNNNNNNNNNNNNNNNNNNNNNNNNNNNNNNNNNNNNNNNNNNNNNNNNNNNNNNNNNNNNNNNNNNNNNNNNNNNNNNNNNNNNNNNNNNNNNNNNNNNNNNNNNNNNNNNNNNNNNNNNNNNNNNNNNNNNNNNNNNNNNNNNNNNNNNNNNNNNNNNNNNNNNNNNNNNNNNNNNNNNNNNNNNNNNNNNNNNNNNNNNNNNNNNNNNNNNNNNNNNNNNNNNNNNNNNNNNNNNNNNNNNNNNNNNNNNNNNNNNNNNNNNNNNNNNNNNNNNNNNNNNNNNNNNGUUGCUGGCUGUGCGGAUCAUGUUAUUGGUAAUGCAUGUAUAUAGGAACUUGAUGUGUAUCAAAUUAGGGUCACGCCAAUUGAGUUUUUCCUCCUGCAACUGAAGUUCUGAACAGUCCAAAUCGUUGAUUAGGAAGUAAAAUUCCUUCAUUGACUUACAAGGGAAUCAUAGUUGUAGAGCAAAAGUGCUAAUCAAGUUAGUUUGAGCCGUGUGAAUUGCAUCUGUUUUUGUUCCUUCUCUUUUUUCUACGAUAUAUGUUUUGGUUUAUGGGAAAGAAUUGAUUUUCUUUACAUUGAGUUUCAUUGCAAACCUAUUUGAAAUGGGGGUUGUGCGGUGCAUGCUGCUUUUGUCCAGUGAAAAUGAAUUUGAUCAGUUUCCUGGAUUUUAUUUUAUUUUGAAGAAUCCGGCCGUUGAUUUCAACUUUAUGUGUCCAGGUGCAGCCUUCCAUGACUAUUUGUUGACAAAGACGAACAUAAGGCAUCCUUAAGCAGUUGUUCAAAUUGCAGACUAACGUUAUAUUUGGAGAUAAUUUCACUUUACUACCCUGAAGUUUAGGUCUAAAAUCAGUUUGAUAUCUCAUCUUUUUUUAAAUCAGUUUGAUACCUAAACUUUCAAAAUGACAUUAAUCUCGACUAAAAUGACUAAAAUAGCCCUGGUUAAUCUUUUUACCCUCUUAGGCUUAAGAAUGGCAGCGGCGACGACCGGGGGAGGAGGAGGGGCUGCCGCCGGGGCCCAUUGCUGGUGGUAGGGGUGGAUGCCGGCGCCGGCCAUGUGGUGGAUUUAGAGGCAGGGAGAGAGAGAAAGGGUAAAAAGAUUAACCAGGGCUAUUUUAGUCAUUUUGGUCGAGAUUGAUGUCAUUUUGAAAGUUUAGGUAUGAAACUGAUUAAAAAAAAAGAUGAGGUAUCAAACUGAUUUUAGUACCUAAAGUUCAGGGUAGUAAACUGAAUUUUUUCCUUUAUAUUUGAUCCAUGCAAUUCAAGGUUCAACAGUUUAGUUUAGUUUUGUUUUUUUUUGUUUUGUUUUUUUCAGGUUAUGAAUAUUUGAGCUUUAUAUAAGGGGUUCAAACCACCAGGUGAGUCACCUCUGACACCUCUGUUCCAUUAUUUUUGUUUCUUACAUAAGUUGCUGGAAUUGAGGCACAGAGAAUGCUUUUGAGUAACACUUUAAUGGCCAGCAGUUGUUUACUGAGCUCUCAUCUGUGAUAAUUCUAUCAUUAUUUAUUUUCCUGUUCUAAUAUCACCAAGACGAUACCGCAGUGAUGACAAUAAUUGCUUACAUUACGUCUUAAUUGAUGAAAAGGUAACUCAUUGAUACACAAAUGACAAACAACUCAACAUUGAUUUACAAACUUACUUCUCUUUGGUUUCUCUGUUCAUCUGAAAUUUCAUUGAAUUCUAUUUUUCUGCACAUAAAUAAGCAUUGCAUAUGUAAACUACCUGAUUCGCAGCUUCGUUCAGUUAUUUAGCCUUCUAUAAUUACUCCAUGUCCAUAUGUGACUCUCAGUUUUGGCAGGUGAAUGCUUAUGAGGCCAAUCGAUGUGUAUUAAGGUACUCCAAUCGAUGUGUAUUGAGGAAAUGCAAACAGAUAUAAAUUAGGUGUUAACUAAAUUGGAGGCCACAAAUUCAUAAAUUCAUAAAUUUCAUAUCAAUAUCACAAUUGUCUUCAUCGUUUUCCAUAAUCCAAUGACAUCUUCUCUUAGAUAUUUAGUUGUGAGAAAGACAUAAUGUUUAAUUACGAUGGCAUUGGGGUGAGAUUUUGUGAAGGUUUAGAAUAUCAUGCUUUUACUGUUUUGUAUUUUCUUUUCCUGCUAUGAUCACUUGCUAUUUUUUUAAUAUCUUAUUGUUUAUAUACUGUUUCUUACAGCAUGAGUGAUACCAUAAAGACAUUACCCGACUCUGAGGGAUGGCUUUAUCACGGUAAAUAAAAUGUCACUAAAAUGUUGUGAAGUACGUUCUUUGUUAGAGUUGAGGACGACUGUAGUUUGGGGAACUUUUAUAGAUACAUAAUGCCUAUUAAAUUGUAUUUCCAUGUUUCAUGAGCUUCAUGGCUUAGUCCCAGUUUACAAAUUGAUAAAAGCCCUCCCAAACUAUGUUCCUUGCCUAUAGUAGUUUGGUAUUUGUAGCCAAAAUUAAGCUUGGUUGUUGAUGACAUUUUUAAUCUAUCUGGGUUUGUAUUGUGUACUGAAAUAGGGGUUCAUGGAAAAUUUCUGUUGUUUUGCUUCUUAAUUUAGUACUCUAAAAUAAUCAAAGGGUCUUUGGUUCCUCUCCUUCAAAGGAGAACAGCUUGAGCAGAAUAAUUAAUGCUUAGUAUCAUGAAAGUUUUAUUUAAUCUUAAGAGAAUUGUAAUCACUUCUUUUUACUUUGCUUGCAAUAAAACAGGGAACACUUCCAGGUCAUAUUUUGUUUGACGAUAUUGACUUUUACCCAGAUGCAAAACCUGAUUCACUUUAUUUCUUUUCUGUAAGCGUUUACUUUUCAAUCAGUUUACUUUGGACUUGGCUCAGCUAACCUUUCACUUGAUUAUCUAAAUAUUCUUUUAUAUAUUUUAGGUACCAGAUAAGUAGAUCUUCCGUUUUGGUGACAUGAUCAUAAUAAGACAUACUAUCUUGCUUCUGUUUUUAUGUUGUAUGGGAUUACUUUCUGUCUGAAUUUAACAUGCCCACUAUCCUCCAUGUCUUGGUCAUGUUCUUAAUGUCCGUAGUUUUGUCUUUUUUUUGUCUCAAAGGAAGAACUCAUUAUUACUUUACAAAUUUGUUCCUGAAUUAAAGGUUAUAACUGAAGUGGAACUUGAUUCGAAAAUUCUUUAGUAGAUUUAUUUUAUGUUGAUAUGAAUCUACUAUUUUUGAUAAACAAUGUGUUGUGCUGCUGUAUAUUAUAUGCUUAAAUAACAUAUGCUUAAGGAACUUCGUAGUUAGUUGAAACAUUGGGGCAGUACACCUAUAACUAUAAAAUGUUACUAUCGAUUUCAAGUUUAAUGACUAAAAUGACGUUUCCUCGUAUAGGCAAAAGUAUGCUAAAGUCCCGCUGCAACACGCGGGUAACUUUCUAGUAAUAUUAAAAACGGUGAAUGGUCAACCAACUUGGGGGAGGAGAAAUUUAAUCAGGUCUACAACAUCCUAUCUGUUGCUUGUGUCUCAUGUAGUCGUUGGAGUAAAACAUUGUGCAUUAUGUUGGCCAAAAGAGCUAACUUGUGCAGGCUUAUGCAUUAAGCCAUUAACAUUGCCACAAAAAAGGCUUAUGUAAUAGUUAUGUUUUGCACAAAUGGCAUGACGAUGAGCAAUAGGUCUUUUGUUGAAAUGGAAUGGAUGGUGAAGUAUGAGAAAAUCCUACCGCCUUCGGUACACAUAGUUACUCGAAAGAGUCCUGGAAUUCUCUUGAAAAUUAUUAUUUACAUAAAAGAAAGAGAGAGUACGAAAAAACUACAUGAUAGCAUCUCAAAUUGAAAAAAAAAAAAAAAAAAACCAACCAUAGGGCAUAGGGAAUCACAAAGAAGCCAAGAGCAACAAUUUCUGUUCAAAACAAAGUAUACUGUUGAAACUUGAAAGUGUCCGCAAAUUCAUACCGGGACAGAUAUCGCGCUUUAGCAUCUGAUUUGGUCAACAAGACUGAUUUCUACACCAUGGAAUUAGUGUUUUUCCUCUAGACUUUCCAAUGAUGCAUAGUGAUGCUACAUAUCUUAUCGACAACACUAGGUCCUUAAGCAUCAGCAAUUGUGUGACCAGCCAUUUCACUUAAUCUGCAGUGCAGUUGGCAAAAGUCACAUUACAAGCAAUGUCGAUUGAAUCCAAAACAUAAAGCAGACAAUCUUACGGAAUAUUGAAAAAAGCUCCUUUUCAUUUUCAAGGAACAUAACUGGAUUGGAUCUGAUGCUGAAAAAUUGAAAUACAGCACAUGUAUAGGUUAUCCAUACAAAUUCAUUACGUUUUUUUUUUGUUUUUUUUGUUUUUUCCGAUUGAUACAAAUUUUAUACGUUCUACAUUUUGAAAAACACAAACAAACAUAUAGCAGCUGUAGGAGGCUUGGUAGGCGUUUUCUUGAAUUCCUUAAUUUUUUUUUUUUUUUUUUGUAAAUAUGAAUUCCUAAUCUUUAUCACAAAAGAAAAGAAAAAAAUAAGUUCUGAACCAUAUACAAAAAUAGGAAUAUGGUGAAGAAUUUGAAGGACUCUAACCCAACGAAAAUUUAUAAGCCAGUGUACGGGCUAGAGUUGUUUAUAAAAGUAAAAUUUAGAGUCUCCGCAACAAAAGAAAAAGUUACCUGCUUCGGUUGUAUUUGUAUGGCACAGUGCCUGGGAUAGUUCCAUACACACUUCAUUUGGUGGCAUUACCAGAUGCAUCCCGCAGCUUUUCAUGGGACCCACGUAAGUUUGACAAAUAGUAACUCGACAUUGAAAAGGUGGCACCGGACGCGUAUAACCAAACGCCGGAUACACAUCCAUUCCAUCAAAAGGAAUAUAAAACAGCAACACAGCAGUAUCACCAUCAAACUGGGGAUAAUGACUAAAACCACCAAUCUUCACUCGUACUUCGUUGAAAAAUAUUUCAAAUUUCCCGUUUAGCGUGUUUUCAGAAACGACACAUAGAGCCAAUCCUGUGUUCUGCCAUUUGAAAUUAGCAAGGACUUGAAUAUGAAAUUCACUCCGUCCAUUCCCUCUAAAAUCCAUUGGGUAGCUGAACCACUUUGAAAUUUCACGACUUCCUGGUAAUCUGACUCUGAAAGCAGACUUCUGAGGAGAGAGAAAAAGAGAAAAGAGAUCAGUCUCCACUUGAUGAUCAUCAUUCACUAAUAAACCAUUCUUGCCUGCCUCCCGAACCAGAUUGUCACACAGUCUCCAGCAAUUUGUCAAGUCCAACCACAAAAACAUUUGCGAUUCUUGACAUUUCAAAAUGUUUGAUAACUUUGAAAUUCUUUCCAACAAUACGCAAUCUCUAACACAUAAAUGUUGCAGAUUUGGUGGAAGCUCCGUAACUUCUUGAAGCAUCUUGCACCCAUCCAAGAAAAGGUACUCCAAAUUGAUAAAUUUGGUAAGGCCAGUGGGAAGACUAACAAAAUUGCUGUUUGAGAGAUCAAGCCUGUAUAAGGCGGACGCACAAAACUUCACAAGGAAAUCACAGUCUGAAAUAUUGCAUCCUCUUCUACUAAACAUCUUUAGGGAAGGAAACACAAAAUUGCCUCGAUCAUCGUCAUUUUCUGACGAAAUUUGCUUGCCGUAAUGUGAAAUGUUUGAGUUGGACGCUUCACCGUAUUCCACCUUAUUAGAAACUGGAGUAAGCUCCAGUUUUGGGCAACUUGUGAGUUCAAGGAUUAAUAGCUUUUGCAACUCAUUAAUGCCGAGUGGUAGAGACUUCAGGUUUUCACAAUGUUCUAAAUACAACCCGGAAAGAUUAAAGAGAUGAUAUCCAAUUGAUGAAGGCAGUUCUUUGAUGGCAGUUCCAGAUAAAUCCAUGCUGUAUACGGAUUCCAUCCUUCCCACAAUUUCUGGGAAGUUCUCCAGCCUCUUGCAGCCUCUAAAAUCAAUACUAACAAGAGAUUUCAUGUUGACCAUUCUUGGAAACGUCUUAAGGUUACAGCAAUCGGUAAGAUUGAAGGAUACAAGCUUAUCAAGGAAUCCAACAGAAGGAUGCAACUCAGCUAAACUUGUACAAGAAUUUAAGUUCAGCCUCUUCAAGUUUGGGAACAUUCCAGACAAGUCAGGGACCUUUGUUAGGAAUUUGCAACUCUCAAAACUUAAAGAUUUCAAGUUUUGCAUAUUCUGCAACACAAGAAAGGAAAACAAUCAUAUGAUGAGCUUCAAAACAACCUUAUAACUGUUCAAAAUAUUCGUCAAAACAACAAAUGGAAAGUUAAUAGCUUAGAAUACCUUGAGUCCUUGCCCAAGUUGUGAGAUGCGACUGUUUGGCAUAUUCAACCUGACAAGUUUUUGGGGAUUGAAGUCGGAUGGCAAAGAUUGUGCUGGGAAACCAGGCCAAUCAAGGAACCUAAACUGAUUUGGAAGAUAAAUAAUCUCUCCAGAAAAGCGUGCAUUGAUGUUUAUAAAAAGUUGUAGAUUUUUCAUCUUUUUAAAGCAUUUAGCACUCAAGCAUAUCUCAUCUUCCCUUGGUAGCUCAACUCUGAUUCCUUUGACUUCUUUUGAGCCCUGAUAUGAUAAAAGAUAAAGGAUUAGCAUAGCAAAGUACUAUAUACAGAAUUUAUUUUCAAAAUUAGGAAGUUCUUGAGACACACACUCAAACACAAACACAAACACAUAGAAGGAAAUAUACAUGUUCUAUACUUACUGUAUUUUCGGUUAAAACACGAUAAACAUCCUCAUGAAACCAUAUUCUGCUACGUCUGCCAGCAUCAUUGGGUGACUCUUUCCGAACUAUUUCUUUUCCCAUUUCCUCCAGCAAGUCAUGCAUACACAUCAGACGAUUUAUAUUAAUAUUUAUGAGGGCCUUUUCUUCAAGUAGUUCAAGAGCAUGUUCAGGGUUGAGGUAAGAACCUUCUAGUGCUUGCAUCACAUACUCCUUAUCUUUACCUUUUAAGAAACAUGCGAUGUCGAGAAAUGCUUCAUUCAGUGGAUAUUCCAAUAAAUCGUAACUUGUUUUAAGGACUGUUUGGAUAUCUCUGUUAGGAAAUCUGCUGAAAUAAUCUAUUGUAGCAUGCCAUUGAUUUAUACUCUUACCACACAGAAGUGAGCCUAAAAUGUUUAUAGCUAAUGGAAGGCGGUGAGCAUAGAGUAAAGCAGCAUCAAUUGGGAAUUUCUCAAACUCAUCUGGAUUUCUGUUUCCCUUGAAGGCAUUCAAAGUUAAGAGGUCACGGGCUUCGUCAUUAUCUAAUUCCUCAGCUGGGUAUAUUGCAUAGACUUGAUGAGAAAUUAGUAAACCUUUAUCUCUUGUUGUUAUGAUAAUUCUGCUGCCAGGACCAAACCAAUCCAAUCCUCCAGCUAAUUUGUCCAACUGGUUCAAUUCAUUCACAUCAUCAAGAACUAAGAAAACCCUUUUACUACCCAAUCUGUCCUUUAUCACCUGGAUUCCUCUAUCAGCAUCAGUCAUCUCCAUUUUCUGCCCCCCUAAGAUCUCAUUAAGAAGAUUAUUUUGUAAUUGAACAAGGCCUUGAUGGGGUACUGAAGCUGCUCUAACAUUUGCCAAGAAACACCAACCUUCAAACUUAUGGCGGAAUGAGUUGAAUAAUUCUUUAGCAAUUGUUGUUUUGCCUAUUCCUCCAAUACCCCAUAUACCAACUAUGCGAACAUCACUUCCUCCGACAUCUAAAAGCUCAAGCAGAUCUUGUACACGAGACUCUAUUCCAACAGGAUACUUUGCCACAUUUAAGCAACUACGUUUUGAUACUUGUGCUGAAAUCUCUUCGGCAAUCUUACUGGUGAAGUUAGGUUCAUGCCUUCUAAUUUAAAUGCAAAGGGUUUUUUAUCAGAUGAAACUCGCAAUGGUUACUUUGAUCAUCAACGAAGCCAUUAAAAAUUGAAAAGAAAGAAUGCUGGAAUAUGGAAAUAUACAUACCCGUCGAAGAAAGUCCACCCUGAGAAGUUUGCUGCUUCCUUGAGAGCUCUUCUCCAUCUUUGGACCUUGUCCAUGUUGUCCUUGAAUAUGCGCUCAUGUUUAGCAAGUGCCUCACCAUAUUUACCCUUCUGGUACCGUAUAUCGGAGGGAUCCACCUUGUAAAACACCGGCCAAACCAGUUGUUGAUUCAGCUCCUUACAUUUAAGGAUCUCAACAAGUUCAUCCAAACACCACCAUGAGGAUGCGUAGUUUUCAGAGAAGAUGAGUAUAGAAAUCUUUGACUCUUGAAUUGCUUUGAGAAGUGAAGAUGAUAUUUCUUCUCCUUUUCUAAGCUCUUCAUCAUCGAUGAAGGUAUUGAUUCCCUUCUGAACCAAAUAAGUGUACAAAUAGCCAGUGAAGUUUUUUCGAGUAUCCACACCUCGAAAACUCAGAAAGACAUCGUACGGACAUGAAUGGGUGAGGGGAGAAGAUGAAGGAGUACUUGAAUCCCUUUUCAGCUCCUCGUCGGCCUGGACCAGCGGCGACAAAGGUUGCAUUUCCUCCAAGCUCUUGGGCCGGUGGUGCUUAUCAGACGACACAAAACGCCCAUAAAGCACAUGGUAAGUGGCCACGAGCAGAGCCAAGAGUGAGAAGAAGGUGGCAAGAGAUAGGUCCGUGUAGGCCACGAUCGCCUCCUUCAGUGUUUCCCAGAGUUGCAGAGUCAUUUUUAGAGUGAGAGAGAUCUCUUUGACACGGAUUUGGAUAUUCAAGUAGCUAUGUUCAAGAUUUUAAUACCAAAAAACUUGGACCAGAGCACUAUUAUGAGUCAUCGAAGUCAUGUACAGAAUAUGAGCAUCAUCGAAGUCAUGUACAAUUGAAGUCAUGUACAGAAUAUUCCCGAAAGCUUCAGUGGGGGCUACGUUCUGAAAAUAUUGGCAUAUUUCCUCUCUUUAGCCAGUAUAAUCUUGGACCAGAGCAGUAUUAUUGAGAGUCAUCGAAGUCAUGUACAGAAUAUUCUCGACAGCUUCAGUGGGGGCUACGUUAUGAAAAUAUUGACAUAUUUCCUCUCUUUAGUCGAUACGAAAGUUCUUCAGUGCACCAAGGUUCAAGUGAACCAAUAGUCACUGACCAAUCACAAUCAUUCAUUUAAUGCAAUUAAUUACAUGACACUAACACCGACGCUAACACCAUUAGAUAAUUGAAGAAAAAAAAAAAAUUCAAUCAACAUGGUAAGGCUACAAUAAAUAUUACAUGGGCAAUUAAUUCAAAUAUCAAUGGGAGAGGUUAUCGAUGUUUGAUUUUUAUUAUUUUUUAUACUGACUAAUCACAAUCAUUCAUUUAAUGCAAUUAAUUACAUGACACUGACACCGACGCUAACACCAUUAGAUAAUUGAGACAAAAAAAAAUUCAAUCAACAUGGUAAAAAUAGGUAAGGCUAUAAUAAAUAUUACAUGGGCAAUUAUCGAUGUUUGACUUUUAUUAUUUUUUAUUUAUUUGUUUUUGUUUUUUUUUGUUUGGAUACACAAUUAAGUCUUUUUAGUAAGAUUUUCUAUUUCCUUUUUAGUUUCCGGAAACGCAAAGAGAGAUUAUUAUUAUUUUUUUAUUGUUAUGUUUAAAACAUAAUAACUAUAGAGUUUACCUAUUUACUGAUUUGACUAAUUAAUGUGGAUCUCUUAUUGCUCGUAGAUGUGUAAAAUCUGUUAUUUGGAUUAGGAUUAGGUAUGAUAUCUAUUUAUUAUUUUUUAUAAGGUUUGUUUUAAUCAUAAAUAAUUUAUUUAAUUAAUAUAUAAAUAAUUUAUAUAUCCCACCAUACUACGUACCCUCAGACAGCGAAUAUGUACCGCAAUGUUUCACAUUUUAGGUAACAUUGGUCGAACUAUCAAUAAUUAAAAUGAAGUAGGAACGUUUUGGGAUGAUGGCCAUAUAUCAACCUUAUGACGUGUGUCAUGUAAGUUUGAACCAUCAAUAAGCUUCUAUAUAUUAUUGAUUCGUUUUAACUAGAUUCUUUCUUUUAGUGUUCGUUUAUUUCGUCAAUGAACUUCAAAAUAAGUUAAAGGGAAUAAAAAAAACCUACGCUAGUCAAGUAUGCCAAUUUGUGAACACAUUUAGUUUGUUAACGUCAACCAUGUCGAUGGGAUAAAAAUAAAUUAAUAUGUGAGCAUGAAAAAGAAUUUCAAGCUGAGUAAAGACUGUCCAAAAAUUAAUUUAUAAUCUUGAUAAUUAGAAUAGUUCUCGGGAGUGAUUUUUCAAAAAAAAGAAAAAAAAAAGAAAAAAGAGUAGAGUCCUUAAUUUAAGUAGUUUGUAGUACAGGACAUCACUAAGUUUGUGGAUAUUUUCGGAUAAUUUUUUAGAUACCGAGUUAAUUUAGUGGAUUUUUUUAAAUUUCUACAUUAAAUAAAUAAUUUAAGAAAAUAAAAAAAAUACUUGUCUGAUCUGGACUGUUUAAUUUCUUCAGGCUUAAUCUAUGUCUUUUAGAUUAGGUAUACAUAUAGGUAAAAUAUGAUCAGCUACACCAGGUAUACACACCUUCUACCCAGAUCUCUCCUCCAUCGAUCCUAGGUUGCAUGGAAACAGAAGCGGGGACAUGGUGGAAGCGUUCAGAAGCGCCGAAGCAUUUUUUCAGAUCUUUUUUGGAAAUGGGGAUGUUUCGGAAGCGUCAGAAUAAAGUAAUAUAUAUAUAUAUAAACAAAUAAAUAUUAAAUAUGUGUAUAAUAAUUUUAAUUAAUUUUAUUCCAGACUUUCACAUCAAAGAAUUCUAAGUUUUUACUUAGAUAAUUACUAAAUAAGAAUUUAAAUUUUCAAAAAAAAUAAAAAUAAGAGGAUAAACCUAGACACCAAAAGGUAAAACGAAGGGAUAGGCAAUGAUAUUGGUGAUAAAGCAAAACCAACCAUAUGUCAAAUAUACUCAGUUUUUCAAGAACAGCAGCAGAACAUGAUUGGGGUCAUCGCCGGGAAUCAACUCAACCUCAAAACUCCACCGUCCAAUCGAUAUAAACUUCAAAACAUUCAAUCUGCUUCCUCAUCUCCUUCUCUGCUUCGAGUUUGGAUCUCUGCAAUCUAAAACCCCAACUUUGCUUCCUCCUCUCUCUCUCUCUCCACGUACACCUCGUCGGCCCCUGCUUCCCAUCCAUGGCGACUCUCCUCUCCGCCUCUGGGACCUCCGAUCCCUUAUCACCCCGCCGACGCCGUCGAUUCUUACCGAUUAGCCAUUUCGAUGUCACUCACUCACUCACCUCGAUUCUUACCGAUUGCCUCCGAUCCGAGCUAGCCAAAAACCUCCAGUCAUGGUCGCGUCGGUCGUCCUCGUCGUCUUCUCUCCAGCCAGUAGGGUUAUAAUAAGAUAGGUGAUUGUAGUUUUACACUUUUACUGCGUUCCCUUUUUUUUUUUGAAGUCUGCUAACUUAACAUGCUUUUGGAUUUGGGAAGAUUGACCAAAAGAAAAAGGACCUUAUUAUCCCUUUAUCUCAUUUGUAUCGGAAAUAAAUAAAAAAAACUUUCAGGUGGUGAUCAGAUAAGUAAAGAUGUACCGAACUUUUAGUUUAGUUAGGAUUUCAAUUUCUCAUUAUCAGACCUUGAUUUUUAGCACGAUGCCACUUGCAGUUUGCUGGCAGCUGCAAGGAAACUUUCAUGGGUGAUUGACCGAAGUAAAUAAAUGACUGUCAAUAAUUGAUGCAAAAUAAUUUGUUAUGAUACAUUGAUACUGCAAGGAAACUUCAAAAAGAUCUUUGUAAAAUGCAAGUGGUGUCCUCCUACUCAUUCUAAUACCAAUAACUUGACCGGGUAGCGAGAGAGAAGGUGUGGAUUACGUAUAAUAUCCAUUUUCCCAAGUAACAAGAAAAGACUAUCGGUUGAGGUAUAUUCCAUUGCAAAAAUAUGAGUGAGUAGAGGAAGUUAUGUGAAAAUAAGUAAGAGCAUCUCCGACAGUUUAUUUAAAAUUUCUUUAAAAUGAGAAAACAAAAGCUAAAAUCCAUUACGAGGCGCUCGUGAUUCCAAUUGCUGUGUUCAGCGAUCCCGAUUUGAGAGGGACAUGUCUUUGCCUAGCGCCCUGAGUGGGGAUUUGUGUGCAAAAUUCACAAGGAGCAGAUGGAGAAUUAGCAGGAGGAGAUCAGAGCGAAGGUGGAAGUUGUUGGACUUGUUUGAAACGUGAUCUUUGAUUCUUUGGUGUUGGUGUUGGUGUUGGUGUGAAGAUCCACGUAAUCAAGACAUAAUCAUCUCAAUAUAAACUGAUCUUUAUAUAGAAAAAAAUUAAAAAAUAAAUAAAUACAGUUUUCUUAUUAUUUUAUCUAUUAAUUUACUUCUUUGUCCUUCAUGAGCUAUGUGGUUGAUCUAGUGUAUCAAUAAAGGAUAUUUGGUACCUAAAUUUAUGGUAUGGGUUUCGAUUUAUUAUGUUUCUAUAAUCUUAUGUUAUUAAUUUGUUUUAAUUAAAAUUAGCUAAUAUAUCCUAACGUACCAUGUAUCUUAAAGUAUUGGGAAUUUGGGAUUCAAAAUUGCAAAUGCAAACAAGAUGUUACUUGAUCAUCAGUAAAGCCUACUGACAGUGUAGCAACACAACAUUUGAAACUGUAUCUGUUAGUGACAUUGCAUCUGUUACUUGUGCUUGACAUUUAAAUAUGAGUACCUUUCUAUUCUUUUAUCUCUUUAGUUUGGAGGAGUACCGGGCUUUUGAGAUUCUCGUGUUUAUGGGAGGGUUGAUGCUAAAGUCGACAAGAACCACUUCAGUACUUGUAAUGUGGUCAGCUUCAAUAACAUUUUUGCAAGUUUUUAUUUGCUCCAGCAUGUUAUUCUGUCUAACUCAUAUAACUACCUUUUUAUUAUAUGUCAAUGUGAACACACAAGAAAUUGGUUACAUAUGGCUUGUGUCACAUCCCGACCCUUAUAUUUUUACCUUAUUUACUAGCGUGAUUAUAAUAAAAAUUUUACCGUCUCGAUCAUUGAGUAAAUAGUUUAAUUGGUCCCUAGAGGGGUUUCGGGGACGAUUAUGUGCGGAGGAUUAUUCGUAUGAGGAAAAUACGACGACGGUAAAAAUAGUAAAUUUUAGCUAGUAAAAGGUAAUUUUUAUUCGGGUAUUAUUUUUCGGGGUGUUGAAUUUUGGAAUUAUGGGUUAAAAGGGGUGUUGGGUCGGCUGGGCCGAGCCCAACCCAUUUCUUCUUCUUUCUCUUCUCCCUCCCUCCCGAUUUUUCUUCUCCUCCCACCCGAUUUUCUUCUCUCUACACCCAGCAGACUUCCGGCCGUCCUCCCGCCGCCGUCCGACCUCCGUUCGCCACCGGACCGGUCCCGUUCGGUCGGUCUCCCUCCCAGCUUCCAUUCUAGGCCGGUAGCAGCCCCCCUAGCGCCGCCGUGAGUGAGCGGUAACGCCCGUAAGGUCCGACUGUCCAAACCUUCCCUUCGCCGGAACUUCCUCCUCCGGCCACCAAUCCGGGCAAGCUUGGUAUGGUUUUGUAGCCCUCCAACCCAGCAACCUUGCCCUAAAAGGACUCACUCCCUCUUGAGCUAGGUAAGGAGAAAUUUGAGGUGGAAGUUUUAUGGUGUUUUUGAUGUUUUUAGUCGAUUGCCCUAGUUAGGCUUGGAAUUGGUGUUUGUGCUAGUUAUGAAAGUUGUAGAGGAGAUUGAGAAGAAGAUUCUGUUAAAAUUUGGUAGCUUUUGCAGGUUGCCGGAGUUGGUCGCCGGCCGCCGCUGCCGGCGGAGCCGCCGCUGUUUUGGGAAAUUUUAUGGUUUUUGAUGUAGAAUAUUAAGGGGAUAUUAUUGAAGUGAAUUAUGGAAUUUUUGGAUGAGAUUUGGAUAGGUUUGUGAAUUUCCAAAGUUUGGUAUUUUUGGCGGUUAAUUAAUAUAGAAUCCGGCCGUUGGAUUUAAGUCGUAUUUUGGAGAGGUUGUAUUUACGACUGUGGAGUAUGAUAUUUAAGUUCGGAUCGUCCGAUGUAAGAAUAUCGAAGUUAGGCAAUAAUGAGCGUAAUUAUGGCUCUCGGGUAAUUUUGCCUAUUUUGAUUAAAUAUUGGAUAUUGGUUGGGAAAUUAAUAUUAUAUUUGGAACAGGACGUGAAGAGGCUCGAGCAGACGAGACCCCAGAUUGACAUCAGGCUUAGGCCUAAUUNNNN